This 950-nucleotide ribosomal RNA is filed under the name Rhodococcus pyridinivorans. RNAcentral's name for it is "bacterial SSU rRNA". It matches the Rfam family "Bacterial small subunit ribosomal RNA", at positions 35 to 1007 of the family's 1533-position model. Lineage: Bacteria; Bacillati; Actinomycetota; Actinomycetes; Mycobacteriales; Nocardiaceae. The record is from RNAcentral.
GCUGGCGGCGUGCUUAACACAUGCAAGUCGAACGAUGAAGCCCAGCUUGCUGGGUGGAUUAGUGGCGAACGGGUGAGUAACACGUGGGUGAUCUGCCCUGCACUCUGGGAUAAGCCUGGGAAACUGGGUCUAAUACCGGAUAUGACCUCGGGAUGCAUGUUCUGGGGUGGAAAGUUUUUCGGUGCAGGAUGAGCCCGCGGCCUAUCAGCUUGUUGGUGGGGUAAUGGCUACCAAGGCGACGACGGGUAGCCGGCCUGAGAGGGCGACCGGCCACACUGGGACUGAGACACGGNNCAGACUCCUACGGGAGGCAGCAGUGGGGAUAUUGCACAUGGGCGCAAGCCUAUGCAGCGACGCGCGUGAGGGAUGACGCUUCGGGGUGUAAACUCUUUCACCCAUGCGAGCCGCAAGUUACGGUAGUUGGAGAAGAAGCACCGGCCAACUACGGUCCCACAGCCGGGGUAAUACGUAGGGUCCGAGCGUUUCCGAAUUACUGGGCGUAAAGAGCUCGUAGGCGGUUUGUCGCGUCGUCUGUGAAAUCCCGCAGCUCAACUGCGGGCUUGCAGGCGAUACGGGCAGACUCGAGUACUGCAGGGGAGACUGGAAUUCCUGGUGUAGCGGUGAAAUGCGCAGAUAUCAGGAGGAACACCGGUGGCGAAGGCGGGUCUCUGGGCAGUAACUGACGCUGAGGAGCGAAAGCGUGGGUAGCGAACAGGAUUAGAUACCCUGGUAGUCCACGCCGUAAACGGUGGGCGCUAGGUGUGGGUUUCCUUCCACGGGAUACGUGCCGUAGCCAACGCAUUAAGCGCCCCGCCUGGGGAGUACGGCCGCAAGGCUAAAACUCAAAGGAAUUGACGGGGCCCCGCACAAGCGGCGGAGCAUGUGGAUUAAUUCGAUGCAACGCGAAGAACCUUACCUGGGUUUGACAUGUACCGGACGACUGCAGAGAU